This 564-nucleotide ribosomal RNA is filed under the name uncultured Methanosarcina sp. RNAcentral's name for it is "bacterial SSU rRNA". It matches the Rfam family "Archaeal small subunit ribosomal RNA", at positions 339 to 903 of the family's 1478-position model. Lineage: Archaea; Methanobacteriati; Methanobacteriota; Methanomicrobia; Methanosarcinales; Methanosarcinaceae. The record is from RNAcentral.
GCGCGAAAAACUUUACAAUGCGGGAAACCGUGAUAAGGGGACACCGAGUGCCAGCGUCAUACGCUGGCUGUCCAGGUGUGUAAAAUACACCUGUUAGCAAGGGCCGGGCAAGACCGGUGCCAGCCGCCGCGGUAACACCGGCGGCCCGAGUGGUGAUCGUGAUUAUUGGGUCUAAAGGGUCCGUAGCCGGUUUGGUCAGUCCUCCGGGAAAUCUGAUAGCUCAACUAUUAGGCUUUCGGGGGAUACUGCCAGACUUGGAACCGGGAGAGGUAAGAGGUACUACAGGGGUAGGAGUGAAAUCUUGUAAUCCCUGUGGGACCACCUGUGGCGAAGGCGUCUUACCAGAACGGGUUCGACGGUGAGGGACGAAAGCUGGGGGCACGAACCGGAUUAGAUACCCGGGUAGUCCCAGCCGUAAACGAUGCUCGCUAGGUGUCAGGCAUGGCGCGACCGUGUCUGGUGCCGCAGGGAAGCCGUGAAGCGAGCCACCUGGGAAGUACGGCCGCAAGGCUGAAACUUAAAGGAAUUGGCGGGGAGCACAACAACGGGUGGAGCCUGCGGUUU